GGGAAUGUGGCUCAGGUGGUAGAGCGCUCGCCUGGCAUGCGUGCGGCCCGGGUUCAAUUCUCAGCACCA
This 69-nucleotide transfer RNA is filed under the name Ictidomys tridecemlineatus (thirteen-lined ground squirrel). RNAcentral's name for it is "Spermophilus tridecemlineatus (thirteen-lined ground squirrel) tRNA". It matches the Rfam family "tRNA". From Rfam's summary of the family: Transfer RNA (tRNA) molecules are approximately 80 nucleotides in length. Their secondary structure includes four short double-helical elements and three loops (D, anti-codon, and T loops). Further hydrogen bonds mediate the characteristic L-shaped molecular structure. tRNAs have two regions of fundamental functional importance: the anti-codon, which is responsible for specific mRNA codon recognition, and the 3' end, to which the tRNAs corresponding amino acid is attached (by aminoacyl-tRNA synthetases). tRNAs cope with the degeneracy of the genetic code in two manners: having more than one tRNA (with a specific anti-codon) for a particular amino acid; and 'wobble' base-pairing, i.e. permitting non-standard base-pairing at the 3rd anti-codon position. The record is from Rfam by way of RNAcentral. Lineage: Eukaryota; Metazoa; Chordata; Mammalia; Rodentia; Sciuridae.